AUUGAACGCUGGCGGCGUGCCUAACACAUGCAAGUCGAGCGAUGAAGCCCUUCGGGGUGGAUUAGCGGCGGACGGGUGAGUAACACGUGGGUAACCUGCCUCAAAGUGGGGGAUAGCCUUCCGAAAGGAAGAUUAAUACCGCAUAAAAUGCUUUAAUCGCAUGGUUGAAGCAUCAAACGAGUAAUCGGCUUUGAGAUGGACCCGCGGCGCAUUAGCUAGUUGGUGAGGUAACGGCUCACCAAGGCGACGAUGCGUAGCCGACCUGAGAGGGUGAUCGGCCACAUUGGAACUGAGACACGGUCCAGACUCCUACGGGAGGCAGCAGUGGGGAAUAUUGCGCAAUGGAGGAAACUCUGACGCAGCAACGCCGCGUGAAUGAUGAAGGCCUUAGGGUUGUAAAGUUCUGUCUUCUGGGACGAUAAUGACGGUACCAGAGGAGGAAGCCACGGCUAACUACGUGCCAGCCGCCGCCGUAA
RNAcentral lists this ribosomal RNA (476 nucleotides) under uncultured bacterium. Its description in RNAcentral is "partial 16S ribosomal RNA". It matches the Rfam family "Bacterial small subunit ribosomal RNA", at positions 30 to 523 of the family's 1533-position model. The record is from RNAcentral.